UAGGGAAUCUUCCGCAAUGGGCGAAAGCCUGACGGAGCAACGCCGCGUGAGUGAUGAAGGUCUUCGGAUCGUAAAACUCUGUUAUUAGGGAAGAACAAAUGUGUAAGUAACUAUGCACGUCUUGACGGUACCUAAUCAGAAAGCCACGGCUAACUACGUGCCAGCAGCCGCGGUAAUACGUAGGUGGCAAGCGUUAUCCGGAAUUAUUGGGCGUAAAGCGCGCGUAGGCGGUUUUUUAAGUCUGAUGUGAAAGCCCACGGCUCAACCGUGGAGGGUCAUUGGAAACUGGAAAACUUGAGUGCAGAAGAGGAAAGUGGAAUUCCAUGGGUAGCGGUGAAAUGCGCAGAGAUAUGGGGGAACACCAGUGGCGAAGGCGACUUUCUGGUCUGUAACUGACGCUGAUGUGCGAAAGCGUGGGGAUCAAACAGG
Molecule: ribosomal RNA, 429 nt
Filed under: Actinomycetes bacterium
Lineage: Bacteria; Bacillati; Actinomycetota; Actinomycetes
Description: Actinobacteria bacterium partial 16S ribosomal RNA
Rfam family: Bacterial small subunit ribosomal RNA
Source: RNAcentral